AUUGAACGCUGGCGGCAUGCCUUACACAUGCAAGUCGAACGGCAGCACGGGAGCAAUCCUGGUGGCGAGUGGCGAACGGGUGAGUAAAGUAUCGGAACGUGCCCAGUCGUGGGGGAUAACGUAGCGAAAGUUACGCUAAUACCGCAUACGAUCUAUGGAUGAAAGCGGGGGAUCGCAAGACCUCGCGCGAUUGGAGCGGCCGAUAUCAGAUUAGGUAGUUGGUGGGGUAAAGGCUCACCAAGCCGACGAUCUGUAGCUGGUCUGAGAGGACGACCAGCCACACUGGGACGGGGACACGGCCCGGACUCCUACGGGAGGCAGCAGUGGGGAAUUUUGGACAAUGGGCGAAAGCCUGAUCCAGCCAUGCCGCGUGCAGGAUGAAGGCCUUCGGGUUGUAAACUGCUCUUGUACGGAACGAAAAGGUUUGGCCUAAUAAGCUGAGCUCAUGACGGUACCGUAAGAAUAAGCACCGGCUAACUACGUGCCAGCAGCCGCCGUAA
Molecule: ribosomal RNA, 500 nt
Filed under: uncultured bacterium
Lineage: Bacteria
Description: partial 16S ribosomal RNA
Rfam family: Bacterial small subunit ribosomal RNA
Source: RNAcentral